UUGUAUUUUAUGAAUCAUGUCUAUUAUGGAUCAUAUAUAAAUUCUUUGAAGUAACAUGCAAAUGUUUUAUAUAUUGACAUUGAUGUGCAUCACGGUGAUGGAGUUGAAGAAGCUUUUUAUUUCACAGGCAGUUAUCCAAGAGAGCAACGGGACAUCUUCCUACGUCGAGGUUGACAUGUUCUGACCUUUAGUGAGAUUAUAUUCUCCCAAACUGUCAUCUCAAAUACCAUCAUUAACCAAUUGCUAUGGUUUUAUACAAGAUGUACUGCAAAAAUAAGCAGGAGCUCACCAAACAUCAGAAUUGCGCUUCUCCCUGAAAAUUUCAAAACAGAAGAACCGCAUAAAAGGAACUGAGAAUAAGGACGGAGAUCUAAGGAAGCAAGGCCGACAAAUUGAUAGCCUCAGUUGGAUUGUCAGAAAAGCAAAUGCAAGGUACAGCGAAGAUACAUGCUUAAUUCUUUUUGUUGUGCUUUUAUUAAAGAAGAGCAAUGAUUGUUGCUGCAUACCGUAGGAUGAAGAAAACCUUGAUUCAAUUGAGCAAAGGUAUACGCCAGGGACCUGACACUAAUUUAGUUCCUCUUUUAUUCGGUUAGCAACCACCAACAUCAUCAAGGAAAAAUGUUAUAUUCACUUCCUUUAACUGAAAUGUUGAUCACUCUCAACUGUGUAAUGUGUUUUUCUACAUCUAAAAUUUAUUUCUCUGUUCUUUCCAUAUAUGUUUGAUUAUUUUUUAGGCAUUUGAUUCAUGGGUUUUUGGUUGAUACAUUAUUUACAUGGAUUUGUUUUAGCUAUGUAUAAUUUAGUUAUACUUCUCUCCCUCUAUAAUCUAGUGAUAUGCCAUUACUUGCAUAGUUCCCUGGUCUUUUACUUAUCUGUGAAGUUUAAUUUUUGUUGGGCCUUUAGUUGAUCACCAUAGACAUGAUACAAGAGCUUGGCACCAAAUAUGUCUUUUAUGUCAUUGACAUAAACUACUUCCCUGGUAAGUAUAAUAUUUGACAUAUUUGCUAUUUUGAUUGAAUGAAUACUCUUAUUGUGGCCUUCAGUUUUUUGUUUGUGUGUGCUUGACCUGAGAUUAAUUGGUGCAUUUCCUGAUUUCCAUUGCAACAUUUUCUUCUAACACCCUAAACAAGAUAUACGCUUUGAUCACUGCAACAAAGCAUGAGAUUUAAUUUGGAUAUAGACUACUCCAUUAAGAGGAGAUUUCCCGAUUCUUAAAUUUUUGCAGGGCCAAUGCUGUGGUCAAAGUCACUUCCAUUUGCCACCAAACCUCAAACAAGGGAUACUAGAGAAGGCUACCCCUUCUUGCUACUUGAAGGAUAGGGUGUCACACUCUGAGCUUGAGGAAUUUGCAGACAUAAAGAACUCUCUCGGUUGGUAUUCAUUUUGUUAGGCAAGUGGUGAAGCAAAACGGUGUUGUUUCCUGAGUGGUUCUUAUGUU
Molecule: long non-coding RNA, 1438 nt
Organism: Tripterygium wilfordii
Lineage: Eukaryota; Viridiplantae; Streptophyta; Magnoliopsida; Celastrales; Celastraceae
Exons: 3
Source: RefSeq, a predicted model, not a curated record